This 209-nucleotide long non-coding RNA is filed under the name Carica papaya (papaya). RNAcentral's name for it is "long non-coding RNA (CPAP_LNC004778)". The record is from RNAcentral. Lineage: Eukaryota; Viridiplantae; Streptophyta; Magnoliopsida; Brassicales; Caricaceae.
AUUUGAUAGAGUAAUAACAAGAACUCAAAGUACAAAACAAAAAAUAAUUCAUUUAAUCAAAUACAUUUCUCACAUUUAUCAUAAAUACAAAAAUUAACAUAUUCAAAAAAAAUAUUUUAGUGUCACAAAAUCCCCUAUUAAUUUACAAGGUAAUGGUAUAUUAAUCUGUUGUAUUUUUUUGAGUUCAACUAUUAGUUCAACAACUUUCU